GGGCGUGUGGCCUAGCAUGGAUAUGGCAGCAGCCUCCUAAGCUGCAAGUCAGGGGUUCAAAUCCCCUCACGCCCG
This 75-nucleotide transfer RNA is filed under the name Methanomassiliicoccales archaeon. Its description in RNAcentral is "tRNA-Arg". It matches the Rfam family "tRNA". From Rfam's summary of the family: Transfer RNA (tRNA) molecules are approximately 80 nucleotides in length. Their secondary structure includes four short double-helical elements and three loops (D, anti-codon, and T loops). RNAcentral also lists the same sequence under 1 other name. The record is from RNAcentral. Lineage: Archaea; Methanobacteriati; Thermoplasmatota; Thermoplasmata; Methanomassiliicoccales.